Molecule: ribosomal RNA, 506 nt
Filed under: uncultured bacterium
Lineage: Bacteria
Description: bacterial SSU rRNA
Rfam family: Bacterial small subunit ribosomal RNA
Source: RNAcentral
UUAUGGGCUCAGAUGAACGCUGGCGGCAGGCUAACACAUGCAAGUCGAGCGGGAAGGUAGCUUGCUACCUUACCUAGCGGCGGACGGGUGAGUAAUGCUUAGGAAUCUGCCUAGUUAGUGGGGGACAACAUCUCGAAAGGGAUGCUAAUACCGCAUACGUCCUACGGGAGAAAGCAGGGGACCUUCGGGCCUCGCGCUAACAGAUGAGCCUAAGUCGGAUUAGCUAGUUGGUGGGGUAAAGGCCUACCAAGGCGACGAUCUGUAGCGGGUCUGAGAGGAUGAUCCGCCACACUGGGACUGAGACACGGCCCAGACUCCUACGGGAGGCAGCAGUGGGGAAUAUUGGACAAUGGGGGGAACCCUGAUCCAGCCAUGCCGCGUGUGUGAAGAAGGCCCUUUUGGUUGUAAAGCACUUUAAGCGAGGAGGAGGCUACCGAGAUUAAUACUCUUGGAUAGUGGACGUUACUCGCAGAAUAAGCACCGGCUAACUCUGUGCCAGCAGCAGC